UUGUCUGGUCAGUGGCUGUCCCUGGAGUGCUUCUUGUGCCAUGCCCAUGAAUACCUAGAGCCCCUUUGGGGAAUAAAAUAUAAUUACCCUUAAUACCAUUUUAGAACAGGGAUGUCAUUAUUUUGUUUGUACAGCAAGUAGCACAAGUCCACAACCUGAUUGGUCUCUAGAUCCUAUUGCAAUAUAAGUGUUGUCAUAGAUGAUGGUGUGAUAUAAUAAUAAUGUUUUGUUGUUGGUAAAGUGCUUUCCAGUGUAUCAGUUGUACUAUAUUCUAUUUCUUGUGAUUAUGAUGGACACUAUUCUUCCUAGGAACAUCCUUAUUUCUUUAUUUAGCCCAGGGGUGUUGAAGUGGUGCCCAGGCUGGGUCCCAGGUCACACUGUCCACAACACUCUCACAGGAUGGCAUCCUGGAGCGUCCCAGGCAGAUCCAACUACGUGAAAAUUUGGAAAGAGCCAGAACAAGCUGCUUCUAGUACAGAGGGAGACAAAACUCCAGAUUUCAAAUUCAUAGAUUAUAAAGCCUGAAGUGAUGAUGCAGUCCUCGCUUCCCAGGUCCUCUUCAGAGUUGCUGCUUUCCAGGAUCACUUUUGUUUUUCUUUUUUUGGACUGUCCAAGUGGACCACAUCUUUCCUGAAGCGUGGUGUCCAACACCGGACAGAGUAUUCCAGGUGCAGCCUUCUCGAUGCUGACUAGACUGGAAGGUUUACAUCACGUGUCUUACAUACGAUGCUCCUGUUUAUACAUCCCAGAAAAAAUAUAAUAAAUUCUUAUAACUAUUGUGAGAUUAUUGUGACUAUUUUGAGACCUAUAAGGUAGCCAGUUUUUACUCCAGUGAAUGCAUGUCAUUUUGAUUUUGUAUCACUAUAAUGUCUUAAUGAAAAUAUCAUGAGGUGCAAAUCAAAUACCUCACAGAAGUCUAAAUAAUGGUUCAAAGCUUCCUUUAUCAUUCAAACCUGCUAUCUCAGAAAAAAAAAAAUAUGGUUAGGUUGACAAGCUCUGUUUUCUGUAUGCUGAUUGGCAUGAAUUACGUUACCCUCUUUAAUUUUUUUUAAAAAACUGAAGUUAGUAUUAGCUGUUGCCUUAUUUUGCCCAGGAUUCAUGUCAAGCCUGUAAUUACUCCGGUUAUUCUUUUAACACUUUUUACAUAUUGCCAUAACAGCCAUCUUCCAGGCCUUUAAAACUCCUUCAGUGUCCUGAGACUUGUUGAAAAUCAAACCAGUUCAGAGAUUUCAACCAUCACUUUUAAUACUCUUGCAUGCAGUUUGCCACAUUUUCUCACGUACAAGAUGCACCUUUAAAAAAAAUUAUUCCCCCCCAAAACAAGAAAACUGCUGGAAAUUGGAGUGUGCAUUAUAUGCAGGAAGUAUAAGAGCAGUUUCUGCCACUUGCCAGGCAAAAGCAAAGGCAAAGUCUGCAUGAAUACACCAGGAACAAAACAAUGAGCAGGCUCAGCUCCUUAGCUGCUGUUACUCAGUUACUUAAUACAAGGAAAGAUCUUCUUUUUCUUCAUUCUGCGUUUAAAAACAAGGCACGUAUCUUAUUCUGGGGCCUGUUGUAUAGAAGAAAGUACAGUAUCUAAACCUGUUGAUUUAAGAAUGUCUAUAAUCUCCUGAUUUACCGUUAGAUUAGAAGUAGGUUGUAGCUGUGAUGGUCCAGGAAAUACCCGAGAGGCAAGUAAUUUUUGUGCUAUCUUUUAUUAGACCAACUGGGUGCAUCUGUACAAAACACUUUACUGAGCAUUAGACUUAUCUAGGGGUGGGCAAUUGUUUUGGCUGGAGGGCCGCUUAACGGGUUUUGGUGAGCUGUCGAGGGCCACAUGGGUUGCCCCCUGGUCACCAUCUUGGGACUGGAAGCCCCAGCCCUAACCGCUGACCUUUGCCACCAGAAGUCCCCCCUGCCCCUUGCCCAAGGAAAUCCUUCUUUUGGGAGGGGAGAGUUGCCAUCUUGGAAUCAGGAAAAAAAAACCAAAUCAUACACUAAAAGUAAAACACCUACUAUAACAUAUUUUAAUUUUAUUACAGAAAAUAUUUUUGUCAUGAUUUGUGUUUGCAUCGUGUAUA
This is a long non-coding RNA of Alligator mississippiensis (American alligator), 2060 nucleotides long. RefSeq lists it as uncharacterized. NCBI's taxonomy places the organism in Eukaryota, Metazoa, Chordata, Crocodylia, Alligatoridae. The record is from RefSeq and is a predicted model, not a curated record. The transcript has 3 exons.